CCUACGGGCGGCAGCAGUAGGGAAUCUUCCACAAUGGGCGAAAGCCUGAUGGAGCAACGCCGCGUGGGUGAAGAAGGUCUUCGGAUCGUAAAACCCUGUUGUUAGAGAAGAAAGUGCGUGAGAGUAACUGUUCACGUGUCGACGGUAUCUAACCAGAAAGCAACGGCUAACUACGUGCCAGCAGCCGCGGUAAUACGUAGGUGGCAAGCGUUAUCCGGAUUUAUUGGGCGUAAAGGGAACGCAGGCGGUCUUUUAAGUCUGAUGUGAAAGCCUUCGGCUUAACCGGAGUAGUGCAUUGGAAACUGGGAGACUUGAGUGCAGAAGAGGAGAGUGGAACUCCAUGUGUAGCGGUGAAAUGCGUAGAUAUUUGGAAGAACACCAGUGGCGAACGCGGCUCUCUGGUCUGUAACUGACGCUGAGGUUCGACAGCGUGGGUAGCAAACAGGAUUAGAUACCCCAGUAGUC
Molecule: ribosomal RNA, 465 nt
Filed under: uncultured bacterium
Lineage: Bacteria
Description: partial 16S ribosomal RNA
Rfam family: Bacterial small subunit ribosomal RNA
Source: RNAcentral